CAGCCGCCGCGGUAAUACGUAGGGUGCGAGCGUUAAUCGGAAUUACUGGGCGUAAAGCGUGCGCAGGCGGUUCGUUAAGACAGAUGUGAAAUCCCCGGGCUUAACCUGGGAACUGCAUUUGUGACUGGCGAGCUAGAGUAUGGCAGAGGGGGGUAGAAUUCCACGUGUAGCAGUGAAAUGCGUAGAGAUGUGGAGGAAUACCGAUGGCGAAGGCAGCCCCCUGGGCCAAUACUGACGCUCAUGCACGAAAGCGUGGGGAGCAAACAGGAUUAGAGACCCCUGUAGUCCCUGUCUCUUAUAC
Molecule: ribosomal RNA, 301 nt
Filed under: uncultured bacterium
Lineage: Bacteria
Description: partial 16S ribosomal RNA
Rfam family: Bacterial small subunit ribosomal RNA
Source: RNAcentral